Molecule: long non-coding RNA, 802 nt
Organism: Oncorhynchus keta (chum salmon)
Lineage: Eukaryota; Metazoa; Chordata; Actinopteri; Salmoniformes; Salmonidae
Exons: 3
Source: RefSeq, a predicted model, not a curated record
CUCUCUUUAUGUAGUGUUGUGUUGUCUCUCUUUAUGUAGUGUUGUGGUCUCUCUUUAUGUAGUGUUGUGUUGUCUCUCUUUAUGUAGUGUUGUGGUCUCUCUUUAUGUAGUGUUGUGUUGUCUCUCUUUAUGUAGUGUUGUGGUGUCUCUCUUUAUGUAGUGUUGUUGUCUCUCUUUAUGUAGUGUUGUGUUGUCUCUCUUUAUGUAGUGUUGUGGUGUCUCUCUUUAAGUAGUGUUGUGUUGUCUCUCUUUAUGUAGUGUUGUGUUGUCUCUCUUUAUGUAGUGUUGUUGUCUCUCUUUAUGUAGUGUUGUGUUGUCUCUCUUUAUAUAGUGUUGUGGUCUCUCUUUAUGUAGUGUUGUGGUGUCUCUCUUUAUGUAGUGUUGUGGUGUCUCUCUUUAUGUAGUGUUGUGGUGUCUCUCUUUAUGUAGUGUUGUUGUCUCUCUUUAUGUAGUGUUGUGUUGUCUCUCUUUAUGUAGUGUUGUGUUGUCUCUCUUUAUGUAGUGUUGUGGUGUCUCUCUUUAUGUAGUGUUGUGGUGUCUCUCUUUAUGUAGUGUUGUGUUGUCUCUCUUUAUGUAGUGUUGUGGUGUCUCUCUUUAUGUAGUGUUGUGUUGUCUCUCUUUAUGUAGUGUUGUGUUGUCUCUCUUUAUGUAGUGUUGUGUUGUCUCUCUUUAUGUAGUGUUGUGGUGUCUCUCUUUAUGUAGUGUUGUGUUGUCUCUCUUUAUGUAGUGUUGUGUUGUCUCUCUUUAUGUAGUGUUGUGUUGUCUCUCUUUAUGUAGUGUUGUGGUGUCUCUCUUUAUGUAG